This 1781-nucleotide long non-coding RNA is filed under the name Homo sapiens (human). RNAcentral describes it as "HSALNT0242194". The record is from RNAcentral. Lineage: Eukaryota; Metazoa; Chordata; Mammalia; Primates; Hominidae.
CGCUGCGCUGCGCCCCGCCAGACUAGAGCGCUCCUGGCGCCCAGGCGGCUCCCGCUUCCUCGUCCCUCCCACCGGCGGCGGCGGCGGCGGCGGCAGGCCCCCUCCUGGGUGUGGAUAAUUUGGAAUCAGUUAAAAGGGAGUCUUGAUGCGUGGAUUUGGGUCCCCAAACUGCCACCUCCUUUGGCUCUUUCCUGACCCUGAAGAGAACCUGACCCGGAUGUACCAAGACCUUGCCGGAAGCCUCUAGCCAGAGCAGCUGGCCCUGGACUCCCACUGGGACACUGACUGGGAGAUUCUUAGAGCACUGAACGAUUGGCCCUCCACCUUCCCAGCGGCUCUUUGGGAAAAGAUGCCCAUUGCAUGAAGCGGGGCCUCUCAAGGAGGAGCCCCAGGUCACCUGUUGCAACAGAAUCGCCUGGGAGCUCCAAGGCCCAGCCCCAACCCAUACCCAAUGAGUCUGAAUCUCCAGGAGGUGCCCAGACAUCUGCACAUCCAGCAGGUUCCCAGCUUCACAUUGUAAGGCUCCACCUCUUUCCACCCCCAGGAUCUUCAGGGGCACAGUAAAGUGUCCACCAUGAGCUGCCUUCACCCCAGCCCUUGGGACCAUGUGGGGACCGGGUGGGAACUCUGGGCUCCUGUGACACUCAGACCAAGCCCCUCACAUUGCAGGGGCCCUGCUCAGCAUCCUGGAGGGGAGCAACCCUUCUGGGACCAGGAAAACCCAAUUUUGUCCUCCAUUUCUGUUCCUCCUGGGGGCUGUGAACCUCAGGCAGGGUCCCUCGGUCUGGGUCCCGUAUGAACUCCUCUUCACCUUUCUGGCCAGGUUAUCAGAAUGGGCAGGGUUGUAAGUGGUUCAGAGUUUGAGCUCUGGGGUCAGGCGGAGCCGAGUUCAGCCUUGGCACAUUCCCCUGCACCAGCCCGUGCCCUGGGGUGAACCCCUGGGCUCCCUUGGCCUCUUCUCAGCUCCUCACUGUGUCCCACCCCUCUGCCAUCUCCUCUUCUCCCCUCCAGCUAUGGGACGAUCUGUCCCGAGUUCACUUUCUUCUUUUCUAUUUCCUACUCCCAUGUCCCCAAACACAUCCCGCCCUACAGUUCCCCACCUCCAGGCCCUGCACGGGCCCUUUGCUCUGUUUGGCAUGCUCCUGCCCUCCUGCAUCCUGGCAGUCUAAACUUUAAGUGAGACCUGCAUGGAGCAGGGAGACUGGCCAGAAGUCUUAAUUAACUUCAAAAUUUAAAGCUGGAAGAGAGGGAUAUGAUUUGGCUCUGUGUCCCCACCCAAAUCUGAUGUCGAAUUGUAAUUCCCAAUGUUGGGGGAGGGACCUGGUGGGAGGUGAUUGGAUCGUGGGGGCAGAUUCCCCCCCUUCGUGUUCUUGUGAUAGUGAGUGAGUUCUCAUGAGAUCUGUUUGCUUAAAAGUGUGUAGCAUCUCCCCCUUUGCUCUCUCUCUCCUGCUGCUAUGUGAAGAUGUGGUUGCUUCCCCUUCACCUACCACCAUGGUUAUGUUUCCUGAGGCCUCCCAGCCAUGCUUCCUGCAUAGCCUGUGGAACUGUGAGUCAAUUAAAUCUGUUUUCUUCAUAAAUUACCCAGCCUCAGGUAGUUCUUUAUGGUAGUGUGAGAACAGACUAACACAGAGAGUUUUAAAUUCUUUAGUUGUAGGCCUUUGCCCAGGAUGGAGUAGCAGGGACUGUAUUUCCUUCCCCUUCAAAACUUUCAGACAGCUGGAGAGGAUAUAUGGAACAUCAGUUUCAAGGUACUGGACAUCAGGCAAUGAAGGAAAGAAAUU